Molecule: long non-coding RNA, 351 nt
Filed under: Equus caballus (horse)
Lineage: Eukaryota; Metazoa; Chordata; Mammalia; Perissodactyla; Equidae
Description: lncRNA (ENSECAG00000044989.1)
Source: RNAcentral
CAGGCGUGCACGUGCACAGGGCGCUUAUUGGCUGGGGCAGGGCACGGUCCUGGGGCACUGACCAAUGGUUCCUGAGACCCGCCUCUCCUCGGAUUCAGAAUUCCCAGCUUAACAGGGAGCCGCAGACAGGAAGAAUGGAGGCUGCUGUUCUCAGUCUGGUACAACCCCUAAGGAUUUCUGCUCCUAGGCUUACAGCGUCUCUAAACUGGGAAUGGCUGGGACAGUAAUUCUUCCGGCUCUAAAUAAGGUUUCUGUGCCACUGCCACUGCCGCCACCACCACCACCACCACCACCAUCACCACCUCAGCACAGCUCCAGGGUGGGAGCCACCCUGAGGGGAGGACCAGGAGA